GGAUUUCAGAGAAAAACACAAAUCUAUUUUCUGACCUAUAUACACAGUAUAAAAUUACAAUGUCUUAUGAGAUCUGUGCUGUAGGAAGAGGCCUCCCUCAUUCAUUAUAUUUACGUUUGAUUUGCAACAAGAUUUCUACACAAGGAUGAAAUCCAGCCUUUCUGCAAAUACAUUUUAUAUAAUGUUUCUUUCCAGUGUGAAUGUUGUGACUUAUAAUGACCUUUAUCUUCUAGAUAAGGGCAAGCCUUCCUUCAACACAUUUGUAAGUCUUCUCUCUACUCAGUAUCCUCAGAUGCAAACUCAGAGAUGAACUUGGACUAAAGACCUUUCCAUUACAAGUCCAUAGGAGAUAUGUUCCCAAGCAGAAAAUCCCUGCUGAUUAAGAAGCUCUGUCCUAGCUUUAUCCAUGAUUUCAAUCUUUUAGGAAUUUUCUGGAGGCAAUUCAGGAAUGAAGUGAGCCUGAAUGUUUUUCCACUGGAUUAUAUGAAUGAAGUUUUACAUCUAGCAUAGCAUCUCCCAUGUCUAGUAGGGAUAAUAUCUACUAAAAACUUUUACCAUGAUCCAAACACUCAAAAGUUUUCCUCUAAUGUGCACUCUCAGUUAAGCAAGAUUUGAACUUUGUCUGAAGGUUUCCACAUUCAUGAGGGUUCUGUCUAAUGUGGAUUUUCUCAUGCUUACCAAGACUGUUGUGCCAUAGGAAAGCAUUUCCACAGUCAUUACCUCCAUAAGGCUUCUCUCAGUGUGGAUUCUGAUGAGAAGUAAGAUUGUUGCGCUGUGUGAAAGCCUUUCUACAUUCAUUACAUUAAUAAAGCUUUUCUCAGUGUAGAUUCUCUGAUGGACAGCAAGACUGUUGCGCUGUGUAAAUGCCUUUCCACAUUCAUUACAUUCAUAAGACUUCUCUCUAGUGUGCAUUCUCUGAUGGAAAGUAAGAUUGCUGCGCCGUGUGAAAGCCUUGCCACAUUUGUUACAUUCAUAAGGCUUCUCUCAGUGUGGAUUCUGUGAUGUUCAUGAAGACUGUUUCUCCAUAUGAAAGUCUUUCCACAUUCAUUACAUUUAUAAAGCUUCUUUCCAGUGUGGAUUCUCUGAUGUUUUCCAAGACCUGAACUGCAUCUCAAAUUCUUUCCACACUGAUUAAGUCCAUAGGAUUUUUCUUCAGUGUGGAUUCUCUGAUGUCUAGCAAGACUGAAGCAAUUUCUGAAAUUCUUUCCACACUGAUUACAUUCAUAAGGCUUUUCUCCAGUGUGCAUUCUCUGAUGUCUAGCAAGACUGGAGCAAUUCGUGAAAGUCUUUCCACAUUGAUUACAUUCAUAAGGCUUUUCUCAGUGUGCAUUCUCUGAUGGACAGCAAGACUGGAAAGCUGUGUGAAAGCCUUUCCACAUUCAUUACAUUCAUAAGGCUUCUCUCCU
This 1406-nucleotide long non-coding RNA is filed under the name Sarcophilus harrisii (Tasmanian devil). Its description in RNAcentral is "lncRNA (ENSSHAG00000021108.1)". Lineage: Eukaryota; Metazoa; Chordata; Mammalia; Dasyuromorphia; Dasyuridae. The record is from RNAcentral.